GGUGGACGUGCGGUGUUGGGUCGGANACGCUCCGCUAACCCAUAAGCGAAAUGAAAGUGAAGGCCACCUUUGCGGGGCCGAGGGAGGACGGAGACGGAAACGCCUCCUGCACUCCCGGGGCGUCUGAUUCCUCAUUGCGAGGGAAGGCGCACCCAGAGCGCACACGUUGGGACCCGAAAGUGGGUGAACUAUUAA
RNAcentral lists this ribosomal RNA (195 nucleotides) under Austrocordulia refracta. Its description in RNAcentral is "partial 28S ribosomal RNA". The record is from RNAcentral. Lineage: Eukaryota; Metazoa; Arthropoda; Insecta; Odonata; Corduliidae.